AGACCCUAGAAUAACCCAGAGAGCUUAAAGAAAAACAUGACCCACUACCAAGACUUCCAGUCAUUGACUUUUAUCCAAGGUCAAACGAACCGCACAUUUGCCUUGCUUGACCCUUCCUCUGCUUCAACCAUGAUUAACUCAGUGAAUAACCUUUUGAACCCCUUUCCCACGUCUCUAUCUGCACCAGUCAAUGACCCAAGAACCUUUGACGACAGCGGCUUGUUAUCUACCCCUUUCAACUGAAGCACCACUUUCCCACUAGUUAGCUUUUCAUUCAAAUUGGUUUUGCUAGAACGGAUCAUCAAUAACGUCUGCGAAGGUUUCUUAGCAUUUCCUCCCUUAUGCAUCAAUUCGAUUACAUAAGCCUCAAGGUGAGCCGGCAG
Molecule: long non-coding RNA, 383 nt
Filed under: Nicotiana benthamiana
Lineage: Eukaryota; Viridiplantae; Streptophyta; Magnoliopsida; Solanales; Solanaceae
Description: long non-coding RNA (NBEN_LNC012585)
Source: RNAcentral